Molecule: long non-coding RNA, 275 nt
Filed under: Trifolium pratense (red clover)
Lineage: Eukaryota; Viridiplantae; Streptophyta; Magnoliopsida; Fabales; Fabaceae
Description: long non-coding RNA (TPRA_LNC002414)
Source: RNAcentral
GUAGAGAAGCCACCAGUGUACAAGCCACCAGUAGAGAAACCCCCUGUCUACAAGCCACCAGUUGAGAAGCCUCCAGUUUACAAGCCACCAGUUGAGAAGCCCCCUGUGUACAAACCCCCAGUUUACAAGCCCCCAGUUUACAAGCCACCAGUUGAGAAACCUCCAGUGUACAAACCUCCAGUUGAAAAGCCACCAGUUUAUAAACCUCCUGUCGAGAAGCCUCCCGUUUACGAGCCUCCUCACCACCCGAAGUACCCUCCAACAGGUUUCUAGAA